RNAcentral lists this ribosomal RNA (219 nucleotides) under uncultured bacterium. RNAcentral's name for it is "partial 16S ribosomal RNA". It matches the Rfam family "Bacterial small subunit ribosomal RNA", at positions 131 to 334 of the family's 1533-position model. The record is from RNAcentral.
UUCCAGAGGGGGACAACAGUUGGAAACGACUGCUAAUACCGCAUACGAUCUAAUCUCGGCAUCGAGGAUAGAUGAAAGGUGGCCUCUACAUGUAAGCUAUCACUGAAGGAGGGGAUUGCGUCUGAUUAGCUAGUUGGAGGGGUAACGGCCCACCAAGGCGAUGAUCAGUAGCCGGUCUGAGAGGAUGAACGGCCACAUUGGGACUGAGACACGGCCCAG